This 73-nucleotide transfer RNA is filed under the name Prevotellaceae bacterium. Its description in RNAcentral is "tRNA-Met". It matches the Rfam family "tRNA". Rfam says of the family: Transfer RNA (tRNA) molecules are approximately 80 nucleotides in length. Their secondary structure includes four short double-helical elements and three loops (D, anti-codon, and T loops). Lineage: Bacteria; Pseudomonadati; Bacteroidota; Bacteroidia; Bacteroidales; Prevotellaceae. The record is from RNAcentral.
CGCGGGGUGGAGCAGUUGGCAGCUCGUUGGGCUCAUAACCCAAAGGUCGUAGGUUCGAGUCCUACCCCCGCUA